CCUCUGCCCAGUCUUCAACCCCUGCCUUUGGAGUCCGUGGAGGAAAAGACCAGAAACAGGAGCCCAGAGACCAUUCCAGACUCACCAGACUGGGAUCCCAGGGACAGGACACUUAGGGAAGAGCAGAGAGGACAUGGCCUGGUCAGGUAAAAAGGUAAGGAUGAAGACACUGGUCCAAGGUGACUCCCAAUGCCUGAAUCACAUGGCUGCUUCCUGCUGCCACAAUCCACUGACUUAUAGGGGAAGUAAACAGGAGCCCCUGAGAUCAUCUUAAUUCAGAAAUCUUCAAAUGUUUCUACUAAAUGAGAUUAAAAAAA
Molecule: non-coding RNA, 317 nt
Filed under: Pongo abelii (Sumatran orangutan)
Lineage: Eukaryota; Metazoa; Chordata; Mammalia; Primates; Hominidae
Source: RNAcentral